GAUGAACGCUAGCUACAGGCUUAACACAUGCAAGUCGAGGGGCAGCAUGGUCUUAGCUUGCUAAGGCCGAUGGCGACCGGCGCACGGGUGAGUAACACGUAUCCAACCUGCCGUCUACUCUUGGACAGCCUUCUGAAAGGCAGAUUAAUACAAGAUGGCAUCAUGAGUCCGCAUGUUCACAUGAUUAAAGGUAUUCCGGUAGACGAUGGGGAUGCGUUCCAUUAGAUAGUAGGCGGGGUAACGGCCCACCUAGUCUUCGAUGGAUAGGGGUUCUGAGAGGAAGGUCCCCCACAUUGGAACUGAGACACGGUCCAAACUCCUACGGGAGGCAGCAGUGAGGAAUAUUGGUCAAUGGGCGCAGGCCUGAACCAGCCAAGUAGCGUGAAGGAUGACUGCCCUAUGGGUUGUAAACUUCUUUUAUAAAGGAAUAAAGUCGGGUAUGUAUACCCGUUUGCAUGUACUUUAUGAAUAAGGAUCGGCUAACUCCGUG
Molecule: ribosomal RNA, 490 nt
Filed under: uncultured bacterium
Lineage: Bacteria
Description: partial 16S ribosomal RNA
Rfam family: Bacterial small subunit ribosomal RNA
Source: RNAcentral